UUUCCGUAGGUGAACCUGCGGAAGGAUCAUUAUUAUAUAACCGAGAUGCGAGGGCUGUCGCUGACCCGAAAGGUCGUGCACGCCCGAGUGCCCUCACACACAUCCAUCUUACCCCUAUGUGCACCACCGCGUGGGUCCCCCUUUGGCUUGUUCGGAGGGGGGCUUACGUUUUCACACAAACUUUGUAUGCAGUGUAGAAUGUAUUUUUUGUUUUUGCGAUCACGCAAUCAAUACAACUUUCAACAACGGAUCUCUUGGCUCUC
This 263-nucleotide unclassified non-coding RNA is filed under the name plant metagenome. RNAcentral's name for it is "partial contains small subunit ribosomal RNA, internal transcribed spacer 1, and 5.8S ribosomal RNA". The record is from RNAcentral.